AGAGUUUGAUCGUGGCUCAGGACGAACGCUGGCGGCGUGCCUAAUACAUGCAAGUCGUACGCUUCUUUUUCCACCGGAGCUUGCUCCACCGGAAAAAGAAGAGUGGCGAACGGGUGAGUAACACGUGGGUAACCUGCCCAUCAGAAGGGGAUAACACUUGGAAGCAGGUGCUAAUACCGUAUAACAAUCGAAACCGCAUGGUUUUGAUUUGAAAGGCGCUUUCGGGUGUCGCUGAUGGAUGGACCCGCGGUGCAUUAGCUAGUUGGUGAGGUAACGGCUCACCAAGGCCACGAUGCAUAGCCGACCUGAGAGGGUGAUCGGCCACAUUGGGACUGAGACACGGCCCAAACUCCUACGGGAGGCAGCAGUAGGGAAUCUUCGGCAAUGGACGAAAGUCUGACCGAGCAACGCCGCGUGAGUGAAGAAGGUUUUCGGAUCGUAAAACUCUGUUGUUAGAGAAGAACAAGGAUGAGAGUAACUGUUCAUCCCUUGACGGUAUCUAACCAGAAAGCCACGGCUAACUACGUGCCAGCAGCCGCGGUAAU
This 545-nucleotide ribosomal RNA is filed under the name uncultured Enterococcus sp. Its description in RNAcentral is "bacterial SSU rRNA". It matches the Rfam family "Bacterial small subunit ribosomal RNA", at positions 8 to 524 of the family's 1533-position model. Lineage: Bacteria; Bacillati; Bacillota; Bacilli; Lactobacillales; Enterococcaceae. The record is from RNAcentral.